RNAcentral lists this long non-coding RNA (1229 nucleotides) under Sinocyclocheilus grahami. RNAcentral's name for it is "lncRNA (ENSSGRG00000025380.1)". Lineage: Eukaryota; Metazoa; Chordata; Actinopteri; Cypriniformes; Cyprinidae. The record is from RNAcentral.
CUACUAUUGUGAGGCUCAGAAUAAACAUGGAUCUCAGAGAUCAGCAUCUGUGUCUGUAACAUCUACAGGUGGCCAGAAAACCCUUCUGUAUGCAGUGGCUGGAAUCGGGGCGGCGCUCAUCAGCAUCUGUAUUAUUAUUGUAGUUAUAAAAAUCAGCAGCAGGAAAAUAGGAGACGCCGGCGGCCAAAGUGGCGUUUCAAAACAGGAAAACAACAGCACAGCCGUGACGGAUCAGACGAGCGUGAAACCUUCGAAAACAGCUGAUCCGAAUGACUUGGUGUAUGCCAGCGUCACCCACAGCAGACCCAGAGAACCCCAGAGAGCUGGAGAUGAAGACGAGUUUCAGUACGCCAGCGUCCAGCACCACAGAAACACCAGGUACACGACUGUGGAGGCCGGAUGUCAAUAUGGAAACACUGUUUCUGCCGGAUCAAAUGCUGAAAAGGCGGAUGAUUCCGAUGUGAUCUACAGCAGCAUCAAAGUUGCAUGAAGAAUCGGAGCAUCACUGAACAUGCUCCUCCAUUUUCCUACAUUGAAGUGGGCAUUAAAUAGAAGUUGCGACUAAAAAGCGAUUCCGCUUAACAAACAAGACUUUAUUGUAUACAUCGGAUAGGCCUACAUAUGGAUGGAUCGAGCACAGAAAGAUGCAUUAAGAAAAUAAAUAGGGUGAAUUUAAAUUUUUACUUUGUAUUGACGUUUGAGUUGAAAUGCGCUUGUGUGACCGUGUGCGGUGACUUUAAAUACACAACACUUGUGUGAGAAACAGGACGUGAAACUAUAAGAGCUGUGAGCAAGCAUAUGCAAAACUUCCAUUUCUGAAUGGAGGAGAGGUUUAAUUACGCUGAAUAAACUGCUUUUGUGAGGAGACUUACGCUUAACAUUUUAUAGUCGGCUAAUCUUUGCCAAAAAUGUUUUGUCAAAGCAAACAUGUUUAGCAUGUUCUCACACAAGUCUUUAACAAUAGUGAAUUGGAUGCUGUAUUUACUUCUUGCAUUGUCUGAAACUCUAUUCUUAUUUCUAAAGGUGAACUGACUUGUUGAGAAGAGGCGCAAACACUGAGAUAGAGGAAGGCUGGCGUUCAUUUUUGAUGUGAUAUUCAUUAAUAGUUCAGCAGUUUAGCAGCAGUUUAACUUCCCGUCAUGCUGCUGUUCUUAUCAUUUCUUAUCUGUGACCAUUCCUUCAUGUUUAUACUACGUUUAGAAGAGUUAAAAAUGUAUAGAAAGGAUUGA